Molecule: small nucleolar RNA, 219 nt
Organism: Acomys russatus (golden spiny mouse)
Lineage: Eukaryota; Metazoa; Chordata; Mammalia; Rodentia; Muridae
Product: small nucleolar RNA SNORA73 family
Exons: 1
Source: RefSeq, a predicted model, not a curated record
ACAGAGAGACCCUGUCUCGAAAAACAAAAAACAAAACAAGCAAACAAAAAAAAUUGGACAAGUGGCAUCAGGGAGCAUAGGGUUCUGUCCCUUGAAGUACAGCCCCUUUCCACAGCGCUGGAGAGGAAGCUGGGCUCCGAGUCUGCGAUGCUGUACAUGGCCCUGCGACUUCUCAGAGUCCCAUGAAAAGUGGCUGAGGAGACAAACCAUGGAGGAAAU